AGAGCUGGGUCAGAACUCGAGCCAGCGGCGCCCGGAGAGAUUCGGAGAUGCAGGCGGCUCGGAUGGCCGCGAGCUUGGGGCGGCAGCUGCUGAGGCUCGGGGGCGGAAGGUCUGUGUGUGACAAGAGGGACGGUGGGCAGCGGCCCUGGGCACCGGGCCGGGACUGAACCCCCACUCCCCACAGCUCGCGGCUCACGGCGCUCCUGGGGCAGCCCCGGCCCGGCCCUGCCCGGCGGCCCUAUGCCGGGGGUGCCGCUCAGCUGGCUCUGGACAAGUCAGAUUCCCACCCCUCUGACGCUCUGACCAGGAAAAAAUCGGCCAAGGCGGUAGGUAGCCCCGAGGCCAGGUGGACCUUAGCCAGACCCAACCAGAGCCCUGAAAUUCGCCUCUCUCUGCCCAGGAAUCUAAGUCCUUUGCUGUGGGAAUGUUCAAAGGCCAGCUCACCACAGAUCAGGUGUUCCCAUACCCGUCCGUGCUCAACGAAGAGCAGACACAGUUUCUUAAAGAGCUGGUGGAGCCUGUGUCCCGUUUCUUCGAGGAAGUGAACGAUCCUGCCAAGAAUGACGCUCUGGAGAUGGUGGAGGAGACCACUUUGCAGGGCCUCAAGGAGCUGGGGGCCUUUGGUCUGCAAGUGCCCAGUGAGCUGGGUGGUGUGGGCCUUUGCAACACCCAGGGGAGGCUGUGGCCGCUUUCUGUCUAACCGAGUCCUCAAGCGGGUCA
Molecule: small RNA, 720 nt
Filed under: Pan troglodytes (chimpanzee)
Lineage: Eukaryota; Metazoa; Chordata; Mammalia; Primates; Hominidae
Description: processed transcript
Source: RNAcentral